RNAcentral lists this ribosomal RNA (253 nucleotides) under uncultured bacterium. Its description in RNAcentral is "partial 16S ribosomal RNA". It matches the Rfam family "Bacterial small subunit ribosomal RNA", at positions 524 to 776 of the family's 1533-position model. The record is from RNAcentral.
CACGUAGGAGCCAAGCGUUAUCCGAAUUCACUGGGCGUAAAGCGCGUGCAGGCGGCUUGGUAAGUUGGAUGUGAAAUCUCCUGGCUCAACUGGGAGAGGCCGUUCAAUACUGUCAAGCUAGAGGUCGGCAGAGGGAAGUGGAAUUCCAGGUGUAGUGGUGAAAUGCGUAGAUAUCUGGAGGAACACCAGUGGCGAAAGCGGCUUUCUGGGCCGCACCUGACGCUCAGACGCGAAAGCUAGGGGAGCAAACGGG